UACGGAGGGUGCAAGCGUUAUCCGGAAUCACUGGGUUUAAAGGGUGCGUAGGCGGCUGUAUAAGUCAGAGGUGAAAGCCCGGAGCUUAACUUCGGAACUGCCUUUGAUACUGUAUAGCUUGAAAUAGGUUGAGGUCAGCGGAAUGUGGCAUGUAGCGGUGAAAUGCAUAGAUAUGCCAUAGAACACCAAUUGCGAAGGCAGCUGGCUGGACCUUAUUUGACGCUGAGGCACGAAAGCGUGGGGAGCGAACAGG
This 253-nucleotide ribosomal RNA is filed under the name uncultured bacterium. Its description in RNAcentral is "partial 16S ribosomal RNA". It matches the Rfam family "Bacterial small subunit ribosomal RNA", at positions 524 to 776 of the family's 1533-position model. The record is from RNAcentral.